AUCCUGGCUUAGGACGAACGCUGGCGGCGUGCCUAAUACAUGCAAGUCGAACGGUCUUUCUAUGGAAGCUUGCUUCCACUGAGAAGAUAGUGGCGAACGGGUGAGUAACACGUGGGUAACCUGCCCAUAAGAGGGGGAUAACAUCCGGAAACGGGUGCUAAUACCGCAUAGUUUUCUUGAUCGCAUGAUCGGGAAAGGAAAGACGGCCUUUGUGCUGUCGCUUAUGGAUGGACCCGCGGCGUAUUAGUUAGUUGGUGAGGUAACGGCUCACCAAGACGAUGAUACGUAGCCGACCUGAGAGGGUGAUCGGCCACAUUGGGACUGAGACACGGCCCAAACUCCUACGGGAGGCAGCAGUAGGGAAUCUUCCGCAAUGGACGAAAGUCUGACGGAGCAACGCCGCGUGAGUGAAGAAAGGUUUUCGGAUCGUAAAACUCUGUUGUCAGAGAAGAACAAGUUGGAGAGUAACUGCUCCAGCCUUGACGGUAUCUGACCAGAAAGCCACGGCUAACUACGUGCCAGCAGCCGC
RNAcentral lists this ribosomal RNA (529 nucleotides) under uncultured bacterium. Its description in RNAcentral is "bacterial SSU rRNA". It matches the Rfam family "Bacterial small subunit ribosomal RNA", at positions 16 to 518 of the family's 1533-position model. The record is from RNAcentral.